Camellia sinensis is the source of this 3113-nucleotide non-coding RNA. Lineage: Eukaryota; Viridiplantae; Streptophyta; Magnoliopsida; Ericales; Theaceae. The record is from RefSeq and is a predicted model, not a curated record.
AGCAUUGUAACCUAUUUUUUUACAUUUUCUCCUUCUAAAACUCCAACUCUCCCUAGAUUUUAAUUUAUUUUAUUUACAUUGUUUUUGUCCUAAGGAAACCUUUACAAAAAUGAAUAGCAAAUAAAAAAGAAUUGGAUCAUUUUGGAUUGCUAAGUCAGUGUUUUAAAAAGCACGCUUAGGCGCGCGCCUAAGCUCAAGGCGAGGCGAGGCGCAACUUUGCGCCUUAGUCAUGGUGAGGCGAGACGACACAGGUGAAGCGCUGCCUAGGCAAUGAGGCAAGCGCCUUAUUACGAAGCGCAAGGCGAGCGCCUUGUGCGCCUCGGCUUUCUUCCACUCCCAGGUUCUGCUCUCUUCUUCUCUUCUUCUCUUCUCUUCUCUUCUCUCUGCUUCUUCUCCUCUGCUUCGUUUCUGCUUCAUCUUCUCUUCCCUUCUUUCUGUCUUCUUCUCGCUCCUGCUUCACGAUCGCUCUCUCUCUUCUGCUUCGUUUCUGUUUCACGAUCGCGAGCUCUCUCUCUCUUGCCUUCUCUCUCGCGAUUGCGGUCGCGAUCUCUCUCUUCUGCUUCGUUUCUCGUUCAUGAUCACUCUCUCUCUCUCGCGAUCUAUCUCUCCCUUUUAUCUUCUGUAUUCAUAUAUAUAUAUAUAUAUAAUAUUAUAUAAUACCGAUUAUAUAAUAUAUAAUAUAUAAUCUACAAUAUACUUAUAAUAUAUAAAAUAUAAUUGAUUUAUCUAUAUAAUAAGAGAGAAGGCUUUUUGAAAAUGUAUAAAAUGUGUGUGAGAUAUAUUUUGAUUCAAUGGCCAAUAUCAAUCCUGAUAUAUAUCAAUGGCUCAGAUCUAUAUAGUUCCCGCCCAAACAUUUCUCUCCCUCAGCCUUUCACCUACCCACGUCUCCUCCCCAUUCCCUCUUCAUCUCUCUCCCUCUCUGUUCUCACCUACUCUUUGCCCCAUUCCCUCUUUAUCUCUCUCUCCCUGUCUGUUCUUCUUCUUUCCUACCUUCCUUCUUCCGCUGCUCUCCAGUCUUCUGCCUCUCGAACUCGACUCUGCUCUCCAGUCUUGCAAGGUAAGAUUUCUGCUUCCCCCUUCUCUCUCUGUCUGUGUCUGCCUCUCCAGUCCUCGAACUCACAUUUUGGGCUAUUUGAUUGUAAGAUUGAUUGUUGUUUUAAUAUUGAUUUUGAUUUUGUAAUUAAAUAGCCCAAAAUGCUGUGAUUUAGAAUUUUUUACACAGCAUUUGAUUUUGACUUAUUAGCAUAGUUGAAGAGUGGACGGUGGUUGAUUUUAAUUUUAUAAUUAGGUUACCAAUUAUUUUGCGGAGUUUUUUGGUGGAUCUGAUGUGGAGGGAAGAGUGGACGUUUUGGGGAAAAUGGGUUGAAGAAUUCGAAUGGAAAUCAGACGAUUCGGAAAGCAGCUCCACUGGAAAACAAGUUGGUGUGUAGUUUGGAGGAGCUUUACAAGGGUUCUCAAAAGAAUGUUAAGAUUUUGAGAAUUGUUCCUGAUGAUUCUGGGUAUGCAAUUCUACACCUUUACAUAUAAUUAAGAUUCUGGGUAUGCAAGUUGGUGUUUAAAUUUCUUGAUUUGAGAAAGAAUUUAGAUGUUAUGAUUGAUUGUUUGGAGUUACGAAUUCUCUGUUGCCCUGAAUUUCCAAGAAUUUGCACGAAACGCAUUGCCUCUUGCUUUAUUUUAGGCUCUCUUUUCAUUUUUCUGGAUUACCGUAGAUGAAAUCCAUAAAAAAAUUGAUUUUUUUUUUAAUUGUUUUUGUUUCCUUUGGAAUUCAAAAUUUUGAAUUCAAAAAAUUUGUCUAGGAUUGUAUUUCAAGGAUUGAUUUUUUUUUUUUUUCCCUUCUUCCUUUUUUGGGUUUCUUUUUCUUUCAAGAACCAAUUUUCGCAAAUGCAUAGCAUUCCUUUUUUUUCCAGAUCACAAAACAGUUCACAAAAAAACAGGACUGAAAAUUUCUUUGACUCUGUUCUAGAAUCUGUUUUAGGAAAAUUGAGUUUUAAAGAAUCUGUUAUCAGUUUUUUUGUUUUCCAUUAAAGGGUUGAUUUAUAUAGUUUGAGACUUGAUUAAAGCCCACAAAAGGCUAGCCUAUUCGGCAUGAUCUUGAAAGUAGGGCAAAAGGCUUAAAAUUUUGGUAUUGUUCAAUCUUUGGUGGUCAAGAAUUACUCGGGAAAGACUAUGGUGCAUGCCCUUCAAAAAGUGUGGACCGUUUGCAUCUUAUAAUUAAAGAAAAAAUUGGUGGUCAAAAAUUUUGGUAUUGUUCAAUCUUUGGUGGUCAAGAAUAACUCACUCCGUGCUAUCCCGGAGACGAAGAAUGUGGAUUUGAUCUCGAAGAAUGCCCAAUUUGCUUUUUGUAUUAUCCAAGUCUCAAUCGCUCAAGAUGUUGCACGAAAGGCAUUUGUACAGAGUGUUUUCUGCAGAUGAAGACCCCGAAUUCGACUUGGCCUACUUAGUAUCCUUGAGUCUAUGAUGUAUGAACUAUGUUUCUACAAUUUUGGGUGAUAAUUUCAGCUACUAUGUUUUAGAGAAUCUCUGAUUCUUUCUUCCAAAUUCAUGUUCUAUACUUGCAUUCUUUAACCAUAUGAGGUGUCCAUUCUGUAAAACCUUGAACUAUGCGGUGGAGUAUUGUGGGGUGAAAACAAAGGAGGAAAAGGGGAUCGAGCAAAUUGUAAGAUUUUCUUUACCAUAGUAUCCUUUAUUUAAUUCUAUUAUUAAAGGGAAUUUUUGAAUAUGUUCAGAAUAGCAAAUUUCCAUUAUGUGUGCUCUAAUAGGAAGAACAAAGCGUUAUAGAAGCAAACAUUAGGAUGCGGCAACAGGAACUUUAGGAUGAAGAACUAAGAAUGCUGACAAGGCAAGAAAUAAGUUCUUCAAGCAGAUCAAUGUUACCAGGAGAGGUUGGAUAUAGCACAGGGGAAGGUAUUUUCAUUGUCUAGGUUCAGUGCUAUCUAUAUUCUUUGCUUUGGUUAUUGUAUACCUUAUUUUUUUCCUUCUAAUAUUUUAUGUUGUGCAUUACUUUUAUUUUUCCUACAGUGGACGAGGAAAUUGUUUCUUCUCAAAUACCACUAAGACAAUCUCUACGGCCUCGGCAGAACAGAUAUUUAUAUAUUUAAUGUAGUUUUUUUUUA